Molecule: long non-coding RNA, 478 nt
Filed under: Rosa chinensis
Lineage: Eukaryota; Viridiplantae; Streptophyta; Magnoliopsida; Rosales; Rosaceae
Description: sRNA RchiOBHm_Chr2g0147761
Source: RNAcentral
UUAACUAAAACAUUUAUUCACUCUUCUCGUCUCUCUCUCUCUCUCUCUGAAAGCUAGAGAGAGAAAGUAGAUCUCGCCCAGCACCGCUUCCUCCAAACAAACCCACACCGCCGUUUCUUCCAAACAACCAAAUCGAUGUUUCCGGCUUCUUGCAACGAAAUAGGGACAUCAUCUUUUGGGAGACCCUAGUUUGUUCAUGAGUUGGUUAUCAGCGAAAUUGAUUCUGGUGUUGGAGAUCUUCAAUGAUUCUGCCAGGCCAUCUUCAGAUCUUCAACCCCGUUUUAAGAGUUCGCAAUAACAACAGGUUCUCCUGAUUUAAUCUAUCGCGCAAUUAUGCUGUUUGGAUGAUAAUGAAGAUCGCCAGUUAUUUAGGAGUGACAUUUUCCUACUGGUUUGGGAUUUGAUUAUAAUGAAGCAAAAGAUGCUUGCCAACAGAUCGUGAGAUUAUGACUAAAAGUGAUUAUUAUCAAAGGGGAUU